AAGAGUUUAGUUUAAAUAAAAAUGUUAGAUUGUAAAUCUAAAGUUAUUAACUCUUG
RNAcentral lists this transfer RNA (56 nucleotides) under Litoditis aff. marina PmIII. Its description in RNAcentral is "tRNA-Tyr". The record is from RNAcentral. Lineage: Eukaryota; Metazoa; Nematoda; Chromadorea; Rhabditida; Rhabditidae.